UUGUCAAGCCUGAAACUAAGUGUACCUCA
RNAcentral lists this non-coding RNA (29 nucleotides) under Mus musculus (house mouse). Lineage: Eukaryota; Metazoa; Chordata; Mammalia; Rodentia; Muridae. The record is from RNAcentral.